AGUUCCCAGGUAUAGUCCGCUAGUGACAGUCUGCUGGCAAAUCCAGGCAUGUGAUGGAAGGAUGCUGAUGUGAAGGACACAGGGACACCUGAUACAAGAACUGUGGCAUUUCAUUCAGAGUGACAACCUGACAUUCAGUUGAUAUUGGACCCGAUUAUUCAGAAAACUGCAGAUUUUAGGAAGCUGUUUUUGACAGAAGAUUUGGCUUUUUCCAUCUGUAUUGCCACCAACCAUUAUGCUGAGAUGGUCAUAUCUAGGGGGAAAGAUUGUCAUUAUACUUCCCAAGGAAGUUCGCAUCCUCUCACUGAAGAGGAAUUGUACAGAUUUUCGUGCAUUAUCUUAUACAUGUUUGCUGUGAAGUUCCAGUCGAUAGACAGAUAUUGGUCAAUGCAUUCCCCUUUCGGAACAACCCAGUACAGUGUAUCAGGAAUGAUGUCUAGAAAUA
Molecule: long non-coding RNA, 445 nt
Organism: Ostrea edulis (European flat oyster)
Lineage: Eukaryota; Metazoa; Mollusca; Bivalvia; Ostreida; Ostreidae
Exons: 3
Source: RefSeq, a predicted model, not a curated record